Molecule: transfer RNA, 71 nt
Filed under: Phrynosoma platyrhinos (Desert horned lizard)
Lineage: Eukaryota; Metazoa; Chordata; Lepidosauria; Squamata; Phrynosomatidae
Description: tRNA-OTHER
Source: RNAcentral
GCCAGCGUAGUAUAGUGGUUUGAGCAUUGGACUAGGACUCUGGAGACCAGGGUUCGAUUCCCAGCUGGGCC